This 252-nucleotide ribosomal RNA is filed under the name uncultured bacterium. RNAcentral's name for it is "partial 16S ribosomal RNA". It matches the Rfam family "Bacterial small subunit ribosomal RNA", at positions 524 to 776 of the family's 1533-position model. The record is from RNAcentral.
UACGUAGGUCCCGAGCGUUGUCCGGAUUUAUUGGGCGUAAAGCGAGCGCAGGUGGUUUAUGAAGUCUGGUGUAAAAGGCAGUGGCUCAACCAUUGUAUGCAUUGGAAACUGGUAGACUUGAGUGCAGGAGAGGAGAGUGGAAUUCCAUGUGUAGCGGUGAAAUGCGUAGAUAUAUGGAGGAACACCGGUGGCGAAAGCGGCUCUCUGGCCUGUAACUGACACUGAGGCUCGAAAGCGUGGGGAGCAAACAGG